Long non-coding RNA from Dendroctonus ponderosae (mountain pine beetle), 841 nucleotides. RefSeq lists it as uncharacterized. The transcript is spliced from 2 exons. NCBI's taxonomy places the organism in Eukaryota, Metazoa, Arthropoda, Insecta, Coleoptera, Curculionidae. The record is from RefSeq and is a predicted model, not a curated record.
UUGUCUCAACUGAGAAUACAAAGAUAAAACAAAGUGCGAUAUAAACAAACUUACCUGGCCACUGAGCGAGAGCAACAGGUUGGAAAAGCGCCGGUAUGAAAUUUCCCGAAAAUCCCGAUAAAAUCCAUGAAAAUCUUUAUCGACCCCGCACAAACAAAAGCGAAGCGUCUUCAAGAGAAUCGACAAUGGCCGCUGAAGGAUCUAGUAGCCUUGAAGCUUCUCAGAAAACUUCAAAGUAAUUUGCGCAACCAUCUAGUGCAGACGCCGUGUCGAUCGUCGCACCUUUUCUACUACACGCGAUUGAAUCGAAACGUACGUCGACAGUUCUCCGAAGCUUUCAAGCAAGACAAAUCAAGAAAAAAUGGUGGCUAACCUUUCUUACCAGUGGGAGGCUGAGCUGAGAAUUGUCAACUUACCUUUGGAGUUCUUAUCAGAUUAUCAGGCUUAUCCAGCAACUCCUCAGAGACGACCACAGGCGAUCUGAGCCGACCGUUAAGGAUUAUUUACAACAAACAUUUAAAAACAUAGCUAAAUCCACUUCAAAGGAUACGUAUUCCAAUGAUGGGGCUGCGCCAUUCAACACCGAGGUUGUAUAGGCAAACCACUGGUCCACCAUAUCCUCUCCGCUGAUAUUGUAUUUCAAACACAAGUCCAAACCUGACAAUUUUGGAACUGAGUAUAACCGCUAAAAUCACUUCAAACUAAUCACUUACAUUUCGAGACCACUUCGUUAGUGGGCUUUAUGUUGAACAAUUCAAACUGACCGGUAAUAUCGUCUACUGAAGCCAUCAGCCGGCGUUAAUAAUUAACAAAAUAAAGAAACACUAUCACAAAACAAUUA